AGUGAACGCUGGCGGUAGGCCUAACACAUGCAAGUCGAACGGCAGCACAGUAAGAGCUUGUUCUUACGGGUGGCGAGUGGCGGACGGGUGAGGAAUACAUCGGAAUCUACUUUUUCGUGGGGGAUAACGUAGGGAAACUUACGCUAAUACCGCAUACUACCUACGGGUGAAAGCAGGGGAUCUUCGGACCUUGCGCGAUUGAAUGAGCCGAUGUCGGAUUAGCUAGUUGGCGGGGUAAAGGCCCACCAAGGCGACGAUCCGUAGCUGGUCUGAGAGGAUGAUCAGCCACACUGGAACUGAGACACGGUCCAGACUCCUACGGGAGGCAGCAGUGGGGAAUAUUGGACAAUGGGCGCAAGCCUGAUCCAGCCAUACCGCGUGGGUGAAGAAGGCCUUCGGGUUGUAAAGCCCUUUUGUUGGGAAAGAAAAGCAGCAGGUUAAUACCCAGCUGUUCUGACGGUACCCAAAGAAUAAGCACCGGCUAACUUCGUG
Molecule: ribosomal RNA, 492 nt
Filed under: uncultured bacterium
Lineage: Bacteria
Description: partial 16S ribosomal RNA
Rfam family: Bacterial small subunit ribosomal RNA
Source: RNAcentral